Molecule: long non-coding RNA, 2258 nt
Organism: Fundulus heteroclitus (mummichog)
Lineage: Eukaryota; Metazoa; Chordata; Actinopteri; Cyprinodontiformes; Fundulidae
Exons: 2
Source: RefSeq, a predicted model, not a curated record
GGGCAUCUGGUGCCAUUUCUACAUCUCCUUACUGAGUGAGAGAACAUCAGCAGCAACUGCAGCCUUUAAUUUAUUACCAGACUGUAUCUUCAAAAGUAUUUGUGGUGUUAAAUCUAUGGGACCUUUACAUCAUUGCUUUCACUGACUUUUACUGGUUCAACACUGAGGUGCAGAAAAGAGGAAACGGUUCCAGUGACAUUUUUCACUUCUGCUUUGCAAGUGAAAGCAGUCAUGGCAGACAAGAUGGAGACCCUUGAUCCUUCAGCUUUACCCGAUGUUACCCCAGCCGUCUCCUACCAAUGUCAGCCUGAAACGGUCACCUUCUCCAGCGGAGUCGUCUCGGUGGCGGGCAUCACUGUGGUGACUGGGGGCGUUGAACUCUCUUGCAGAUCCUGCAUCCUGGCCUUUGGUUUUUGGGGGACUCUCAUCGGAUUAAGCUGCUUGGCCGUGGGGCUCUGGGACCAGCUGGCUCAGUUUAGAGAUGGGAUCUCCACCUUACUAGGUCUUGCGCUGGUGAUACUUAUCCUCAGUAUUUUGCUGGUGGCCAGCGUGCUGGUGUUUCACCUCCUGACAAAGAAGAAGAGAAAAAACAGAAGAGAGAUGAGAAGGGAAGGAAAACAAGUUUUGGUAGAGGGAGGUGAAGUGAUUAAAAAGGUCACAGUAUAAAUAAGCUCCAAUGGCGGACAUUAAGGUGAAUUUAUGAAUGUCCUCUAGACAUUAUUUGGAAACAUGCAAACAUGAUAUCUCAUGUUCUGUAACUCUAGACUUUUUCUAAACAUUUUAUCCACAACGCAGCAACACUCCAGACUUCCUUCCUUUAAAUUCAACAUAACCUUUUUCGUAACAUAGCCAGUGGUGCCCUGGACUUUUACACUUCUGUCAUUUAAAGAUGGUCUGGAUGCCAAACUAAAUAAAUAAAAAAAAAAAAAACUUUUAUUGUGUUUUUACAAAUUUUAUGUAGGUUUCACAAAUCUGAAGCUGUGUUUCAAACACUCUGUCUUUUGUAGCUCAAUCAAAUUCAGAUUUGACAAAUUAAAGUAUUUUAGAUUAUAAGAGAGGAUUAAAUGCAGUCCAGAGUCACUUUAGUUUGGCAUCAAACCAGAAGCUGUGAAUGAGAUAUCUGCUUCAACAUCUUCAACAAAACACAUGCAGGUACCCAAUCCCCAUUGAAUGAACAUGAAGAUAAGCAAUGCAAAAGUUGUUCAGGAUGCAACUGACAGCUUAUUUUUCCAAGCUGCUUGUGCCAUCCCCAGUAGAGCUGCACCCUGGGCGGUGAGCCAUAGCGCCCAGAUUAAUUACCUCCACUGAACGUGCAUUACACGUUGGCCUUUACACAAUUAUCUAGCUAGUCCUGUGUGAAUUGUUUCGUUUUUUCCAAGUGUAGUUGUAUUUUUGUAUCUGCUUCCAUUUAAAGCUAUAGAUUUAGCUUUACUCCACUUUAUUUGUAUUUGCUUUAUUGUAAAUGUAACCAGAAAAUCUUAACUUUUCAUAAUGCAUAAAGUGGUUCAUCAAUGGCAUCCAAUAAACCAACAAAAUUUAAGUCAUGUCCAAUUUAACAAUAAAAGGGUAUGUUAAUCCAGGAUGCAACACUCUCCGUGUUUCUGCUCUACUAAAAAGUUAAAAACAUGUUUUUAUACCCCUUAUGAGCUACACUGUCUUUAGAGACUUUAUAACAUGUACUGCUGACAGAUCAAUGCAAAUAUGGAGUAGGCAAUAAAUUAACUGUCUGAAAUGCAAGUUUGUAUUUACAUUUGCUUUAAGAUUUUUCAGUCUGUCUCAAUACAAUAUUUUUUUUCUUUAUAAACCUCACCCUAAUUAGUUUAAAACUAUUUGGGUAGUUUCUGAGUUCCAUACCUUAAAACAUCAAUUAAACAAAGUGUACAAAAGAUAUUCUCUAGUCAGAACCUUGAGAUACAAUGCAAAAUGUUGUGUCGGUGUAGUAACAAAGGACUAAUAAUAAACAUAAAGUAAUACAAUAAAUGUGUAUGAAUUUACCAAGUACAGGUUUUGCAGUAAACAAGUGAUAUAAUACAGAAUAGUGUCAGCAUGAAGGCAUAUGUGGGACCUUUAACUCGCAUUCUUUUGACAGCUAACCAAGAGUCAGUAACUGUAGGUUUUUUAAAACUCUAAAUAAACACAGACAAAAAAAUGAUAAAAUUGUGUAGAGAUGUUUAAAUGUUGUUGUCUCUGUCCAAUCAAUAUAUGAAUUGUUUGUAUAUUUUUACUGUGAACAUCUAUUAAAACUUAAUUAAAUCAUC